GUAAUGUUUAAAAUAACAUUUUAAAUAAAAUUUUAUGACAGUUUCAAAAGAAGAAAAACCUAACAAAAUGAAUACUCUUUUCAACUUCAGAAUAAGCUCUCUUACCCACAGCUGCGUAGGGAUUAAGGUAUAUGUGACAAAAAUGAGGGGGAUCUUAGUUACUAUCCUGUUCCAUGGGAUAAAAAGGAGCAUUUAACUGUUUGGAUCCCACUGUUCUUCAAUAAAAAUCCAAUGCUUUCUUAAUAUUUAUCCCUUAUUCCUCUAACCCUACUAUACAUACUCUCUUUCGGAGUUGCAAGAAAACCAGCAAUUAUCACAUCAAAGGUUAUCAGUCCACCAGGGAAACUUCAAUCCUUAACUGGUGGAGAAUUGCUGCAGCUUUUGCAAACAUCUCAGAUCAGGCCAGCAAGUGUUUUCCCUCCUCCCUUCCCUCCUGUGACUCUUGUUGGUUUUAUUUAAUCAGCUUAGAAGACCUCCUUAGUUUUCCUGUGAUGCCAUAUACUAUCCUAGACAUCAAAAAGAUUUUUAUACUGCUGUUAUUUUUAUAGAGAAGGAAUAAAAGAAUAACAAUGAUUUAACCAUGCUGCACAAUAGGUCCAGUCUGAAAAGGUCUGAAGGAUUAAACCUUUCCUUAAAUUUCCUGAAAGCUCCAUUCAGAAGUUAUUGGCAACAUUCUUACUUCAAUAGUAUCAGAAGAAUCCAAGAAAGAAGUAAGCUGUUCUCAUGUUUAAUAUGGUGGGGUCACAUCUGGAAAGCCAGAGAACCAUACAAAGCUGAAAUUUUAGCCCUUCUCCCCAGCCCUCCUUACCAAGAGGUGAACUGAUAGUACUUUCCUGAAUGACAGACUCUUACCAUGCACUACACUGGGUAACCAUUUUGAUGAAGAUCCUGCUUUUGUACUCAUUUCAACGGCAGAACGGGAUAAGAGGGAGACAGAAGAACUGUUUCUUCUCCCAGGAACGGAAAGAUCUGCUGUUCUCCUGCUCUGUGCAGGCAAGAUUGAGAAGACUGGUACCACUGCUACAGCUUGACAUCACUCAAUGACCUUAAGUUACUUGCACACCCUGCUAAUGCAGGGCCUCCUAUGCCAUUAACUUCAUGUAAAUUUAGUGAUGUUCUUUUUUGUACUUUCAUUUUUCAGCACCUAUUCCUUGUUGUUCAAGGUUCAGUGUGGCUGGCCUAGCAAAGUAAGCUCAAGAAUUAACUAAGAACAUUUUUGUUUAGAAGUGGACUUUGUUAAAAAGUGGCCUAAAAUGUUAAACUACUGGUUUGUUCAAAUAGAUAAUGUGAGUGAACAUUUGCUCUUGACUUGAGAACACGAAUAUUCCCAGAACAAAAUACAGAGUGCUGAGGAAUUUUGCCUGAGGCUAUGGAAUAAAUGAAUGGAAUCAUCCUCUGAAAAAGUGACA
This 1409-nucleotide long non-coding RNA is filed under the name Numida meleagris (helmeted guineafowl). RNAcentral describes it as "lncRNA (ENSNMEG00000017400.1)". The record is from RNAcentral. Lineage: Eukaryota; Metazoa; Chordata; Aves; Galliformes; Numididae.